AUUUUGCUUCUCCUGCUGCUUCAAAACAAUGGAAAAUAACAGAAGAAUAAUGAGGACGAGUGGCAGCUUGAGAUUUGUACUGCUUGGAGUUGCUGACAUGAACUGAGCUCUAAUUGCUAAGCAUCAAGGCUGCUGGCUGGCCCUGGAGAGAGAAUGCGUUGGUUUGCAUGGUGAAUUUUUGGAGUGGAUUCAUUCAUCUGCAUUAUGCUAAGACUUUUCUAUCAAUUAAAUAAUAGCAAGAGAGGUACAAAGCAUUACCUCACAAUUGACGGCCAGAUCCUUCUCCUUCAGAAACUGAUGAAGGAAUCAGAAGCUCAGUUAUUCUUGACUGGAUAUGGAUCAAUAAGGAAAACCUAAUUGAGGAAGUGGAAGGAACAGAAACAUUGCAAAUACAACGAAGUAAUAAUGGAAUUCUUAAUUUUUAGGGGAACUAAAGCUGAUUAUGGAGAGAGACUUGUGGUAUUGGAUUUUGAAAGAGUGUUUUGGUGAACUUGAAUGGUAGAUCAAUCUAAUGAUUUCAAAUCCUGUAGGAGAAAAAUAUUCAGAAAGGACUAAAAAUCCAGUUAAAUGCAUUAUUUAGAAGGAAAAGUGUGGAAACACAAAGCUUCUUAAAACACUGAAAAAAAGACACAUUUAGAUAAUUGAAGGGGGAUUGUACUAUACAAUCAAAGAUCUCUAGAGUAUUUACCAGAAACUGUGUUACAAAGACUAAAAUGCAGAAUGGGACAAACUUCAGGAGAAAUGGCAAAACAACAGCAACAAAAUGGAGUUAUUAAGAUAUGUUUUUAAAAAGGCAAAUGAAUUGUAGGUCUGUUGCAAGGAAAAAAAGGUAAAUUGGUAACAGGUGAUAGAAAAGACAA
Long non-coding RNA from Crotalus tigris (Tiger rattlesnake), 860 nucleotides. RefSeq lists it as uncharacterized. The record is from RefSeq and is a predicted model, not a curated record. NCBI's taxonomy places the organism in Eukaryota, Metazoa, Chordata, Lepidosauria, Squamata, Viperidae. The transcript is spliced from 3 exons.